CGAGGGCGUCAUAAGACCUGCUAACUCUUUAACCUGGAACUAAUCUCCAGCCCCCUC
This 57-nucleotide transfer RNA is filed under the name Contia tenuis. Its description in RNAcentral is "tRNA-Ser". The record is from RNAcentral. Lineage: Eukaryota; Metazoa; Chordata; Lepidosauria; Squamata; Dipsadidae.